RNAcentral lists this small RNA (107 nucleotides) under Marmota monax (woodchuck). Lineage: Eukaryota; Metazoa; Chordata; Mammalia; Rodentia; Sciuridae. The record is from RNAcentral.
GCUGGGCACAGUGGCGCAUGCCUGUAGUCCCAGGGACUCAGAAGGCUGAGGCAGGAGGAUCCCAAGUUGGAGGCCAGCCCGGGCAAUUUAGCAAGCCCCUGCCUCAA